ACGGGACCUUUCGGGGUCUAGUGGCGGACGGGUGAGUAACGCGUGAGAACAUGCCCUUAGGUUCGGGACAACAGUUGGAAACGGCUGCUAAUACCGAAUGUGCCGAGAGGUGAAAGAUUAAUUGCCUAAGGAUUGGCUCGCGUCAGAUUAGCUAGUUGGUGAGGUAAAGGCUCACCAAGGCUGCGAUCAGUAGCUGGUCUGAGAGGAUGACCAGCCACACUGGGACUGAGACACGGCCCAGACUCCUACGGGAGGCAGCAGUGGGGAAUUUUCCGCAAUGGGCGAAAGCCUGACGGAGCAAUACCGCGUGAGGGAGGAAGGCUCUUGGGUUGUAAACCUCUUUUCUUCGGGAAGAACAAAAUGACGGUACCGAAGGAAUAAGCAUCGGCUAACUCCGUGCCAGCAGCCGCGGUAAUACGGAGGAUGCAAGCGUUAUCCGGAAUAAUUGGGCGUAAAGCGUCCGCAGGUGGCGAUUCAAGUCUGCUGUUAAAGGUCCUGGCUCAACUGGGAUAUGGCAGUGGAAACUGAAGAGCUAGAGUGCGGUAGGGGUAGAGGGAAUUCCCGGUGUAGCGGUGAAAUGCGUAGAGAUCGGGAAGAACACCAGUGGCGAAAGCGCUCUACUAGGC
Molecule: ribosomal RNA, 626 nt
Filed under: uncultured cyanobacterium
Lineage: Bacteria; Bacillati; Cyanobacteriota
Description: bacterial SSU rRNA
Rfam family: Bacterial small subunit ribosomal RNA
Source: RNAcentral